UGUUUAUUUUCGUAUCGGUGCCGCUUUUAAUGCACUUUAUAUGCAGCGUUAGUGUCAGAUAUAAUGUGUGCCAUGCACUCCAGAUGUUGGUGGAGUUUGUUUCAGUGUGUGUUGACCAGAGAAGAGAGUUAGCAUAGUAAAUGUUAGCUUUAAUGUUAGCGAUGCUAACCAAGCUAGCUGCUCAGUCGUAGCCUGAUUAAAGCUAACGUAGCAUCAAGCUAACGAUGUUUGUGUUGAGUUUCAUGUAAACAGCUGAAGUGUGUUGUGUUCCUGUAAUGUGGUUCAUUAAGUUCAUAAAACUGUGGCUGGUUGACAUUAAUGUAACGUACAGGAAACUUAAAUGUGAUUAAAACAGUAACGUUAAUGUUCUAGUUGUCAGUAAUCAGCUUUAAUUUGACACUAAAACAGACUGAUAGUUUUUAAAUGACAUCAGUUUCAUUAAUUUGUUGAAAAUUGUCUCAUUUGUUGUUGUAAUGUUGCUGAUGAUUCAUUAAAAGCAGAUGAUCCGUGUUGAAGAUACGUUUAGUUCUAGUAUCAGAAGUACAAGAAGGAAAAUGGAAGUUUAGUUCUGCUACAUCAAAGAUUUCAGGAAUAAAAUAACUAAAUGAGUCUUUAUACCUCAAACUUUAUUUUUACAAUAAAGAAAUAAUGAAAUAAUCACAGAUAAUAAAAAUAUAAAUAGCAGAGAAAACCUGAGAGAAUAAUUUCCUGAAAGGUCUGUGAAGGAAAAGCAGCUUUUUAUCCUGAAAGAUCAGAAUCAGCUCCAACAUCUGCAUCUGACAGCAUCAAGUCAACCAGAAAGAAAAGAAAAAAGAAAAUGACUUCUUUUUGAUCACAUCUGUUCCACUGCUCACAGGCUGCUGCUGCUGCUCACAUUCUUCACAUUUAUAAUCCACUUUUUCAGCAGACAGGUGCUCUGCUUUGGAGUGUGACGAUGUUGUCGGUGAUGUGGAGAGUGAAGUUUCCGUUUCACCCACAGCGUGCUUUAGGGCAGCCGGGUCGGACUUGAUGUUUGAAAUACUGACCGACAGCUCAGAUUUAACUGUCUGUAGUUCUGUUUUGAUGGGUAUUAAACUUUCUUUCAAUGCCGACAGGAGCUGGGUCUUUAAAAUAACCGCCGUCUCGUUACAGAGUGAAAGCAGCAGUUCCUCCUUAAGGUUCAGAGAUUGCAGCAUCUGAGGGCCUCUUCAAAAGAAGAUGUAGUUGAUGAAGGCGUUCUGGAGCAGGACCAGAAAGACCACGACCAAGCAGCCUUGAGAUCUUAGGCAGCGUCUCCCUCAGAAUCAACUGAUAAUCGAGGCUGUGAGAUGGUUAUAAGCUGUGGGACACCACCUAGACCUGACCUGAAGCAGAGAACGAUUCUAAAUUGAAGUUUAAUUUAAUACACAGAUGGUUCAACCAGCAGACCCUCUGACGUCACACGUCAUGCAGGUUAUGCUGUAGUCAAUGACUAGUAAAUAGUGGAAGUGGGUACUCUCCCCCCUGAGUAGCUCAGUACAGGCAGUUGAACUGUUUGCUGUUAUUAUCUCCAAGGACAAGGUCUCUAGCCUUUACACAGACUCCUGCUAACUUUAGGAGCAGCUUAUGAUUUGGCUCAAAAUAUGGAAAUAGAGAGGAAUUUAAACAUCAAGUGGAAAGCCACUAAAAAAAAAAAAAAAAAAAAAAAAAAAAAAACUUAAGCAAAGGCUCAAAAAUUUGAUUAAAACUUUUUUAUUGCCUGAACAAUUGGUUACUCUAACAUGUAGGACAGACUUUUGGUUCUAACUCUGAUUCCUCUUUCGACAUCGCAGAAUUUCCUAACAGUCAUAGUAUAGCAUGUCGCUCUAAAAACGUCAUAGUAUAGCAUGUCGCUCUAAAUACGUCAUAGUAUAGCAUGUCGCUCUAAAUACGUCAUAGUAUAGCAUGUCGUCCAAAAAACAUCAUGGUAUAGCAUGUCGCUCUAAAAACAUAGCAUAUCGUUUGGUCCAAAAAACAUCAUAGCAUAGUAUGUCGUUCAAAAAACAUCAUGGUAUAGCAUGUCGCUCAAAAAACAUUAUAGUAUAGCAUGUUGCUCUAAAAACGUCAUAGUAUAGCAUGUCACCCAAAAAACAUCAUAGUAUAGCAUGUCACUCUAAAAUUGUCAUAGUAUAACAUGUCACUCUAAAAACGUCAUAGUAUAGCCUUUGGUCUAAAAACGUGAUAGUAUAGCAUGUCGCUUUAAAAACGUCAUUGUAUGGGAUGUUGCUCAAAAAACGUCAUUGUAUAGCAUGUCGCUCAAAAAAUGUCAUUGUAUAGCAUGUCGCUCUAAAAAUGUCAUUGCAUAGCCUUUGGUCCAAAAAAACGUCAUAGUAUAGCAUGUCGUCCAAAAAACAUCAUAGUAUAGCAUGUCGCUCUAAAAAUGUCAUAGCAUAGCAUGUCGCUCUAAAAAUAUCAUAGUAUAGCAUGUCGCUCUAAAAACGUCAUGGCAUAGCAUGUCGCUCUAAAAACGUCAUAGCAUAGCAUGUCGCUCUAAAAACGUCAUAGCAUGUCGCUCUAAAAAUGUCAUAGUAUAGCAUGUCGCUCUAAAAACGUCAUAGUUUAGCAUGUCACUCUAAAAACUUCAUAACAUAGCAUGCCGCCCAAAAAAUGUCAUAGUAUAGCAUGUCGUCCAAAGAACAUCAUGGUAUAGCAUGUCGCUCUAAAAACAUCAUAGUAUAGCAUGUCGCUCUAAAAACGUCAUAGCAUGCCGCUCUAGAAACGUCAUAGUAUAGCAUGUGGCUCAAAAAACGUCAUAGUAUAGCAUGUCGUCCAAAGAACAUCAUGGUAUAGCAUGUCGCUCUAAAAACGUCAUAGUAUAGCAUGUCGUCCAAAGAACAUCAUAGUAUAGCAUGUCGCUCUUAAAACGUCAUAGUAUAGCAUGUCGCUCUAAAAACGUCAUAGUGUAGCAUGUCGCUCUAAAGACGUCAUAGUAUUGCCUUUGGUCCAAAAAACGUCAUAGUAUAGCAUGUCGUCCAAAAAACAUCAUCGUAUAGCAUGUCGCUCUAAAAAUGUCAUAGUAUAGCAUGGCACCCAAAAAACGUCAUCGUAUAGCAUGUCGCUCUAAAAACAUCAUAGUAUAGCAUGUCACUCUAAAAACCUCACAGUAUAGCAUGUUGCCCAAAAUACGUCACAGUAUAGCAUGUCGAUCUAAAAACGUCACAGCAUAGCAUGUCGCUCUAAAACGGUCAUACUAUAGCAUGUCGCUCUUAAAAACGUCAUUGUAUAGCCUGUUGUCCAAAAAACGUCAUAGUAUAGCAUGUCGUCCAAAGAACAUCAGAGUAUAGCAUGUUGCUCUUAAAACAUCAUAGUAUGGCAUGUCGCUCUAAAAACGUCAUAGUAUAGCAUGUUGCCCAAAAACAUCAUAGUAUAGCAUAGCAUGUGGCUCAAAAAACGUCAUCGUAUAGCAUGUCGCUCUAAAAACGUCAUCAUAUAGCAUGUCGCCCUAAAAACGUCAUAGUAUAGCACGUCGCUCAAAAAACGUCGUAGUAUAGCAUGUCGUCCAAAAAACGUCAUAGUAUAGCAUGUCGCCCAAAAAACGUCAUGGUACAGACCUGAUCAAAAUCUUAAGACCAGUUGAAAAAUUGCUAGAAUUUACCUUUUGCACAUUUGGAACUUAAUGAGGUUUUGAGUAGAGCUACAAUAUGCAAAAGCAAGAAGGGGGAGUGAGACAAAAAGCACUUUGAAAAGUAAUUUAUUGAAAACAAGUAAACUGAAAUAGGCUGUUGAUCAGCUGAUCAAAAGUUUAAGACCAUCGCUCAAAAAAUUACAAAAAAAGUCUCCACACCAGAGCAAAAAAUUUUCUCAGUAGGACUCAGUAAUGAGUAGCUCCACCGUUUUUGUUAAUCGCUUCAAAAAUUCGUUUGGGCAUGGUUGAUGCGAGUGUUUCCAGGAGGCUGGUGGGAACAUUGCUCCAAGUGGUGAAGAUGGCUUCACGAAGGGCAUCAACUGUCUGGAACUGAUGGCCAUUUUUAUAAACUUCCCUUGCCAUCCAUCCCUAAAUGUUCUCUAUGGGAUUUAAAUCAGGGGAACAUGCGGGAUGGUCCAAAAGAGUGAUGUUAUUCUCCCUGAAGAAGUCCUUGGUCAAGCGAGCAUUGUGAACUGCAGCGUUGUCCUGUUGAAAAAGCCAGCUGUUACCACACAGACGAGGGCCCUCAGUCAUGAGGGAUGCCUGCUGCAACAUCUGCACGUAACCAGCUGCCGUUCGACGACCCUGCACCAACUGAAGCUCCAGUGUUCCACUGAAUGAAAAAGCACCCCAGAUCAUGAUGGACCCCCCUCCACUGUGCCGGGUAGAAAACAUCUCAGGUGGGAUCUCCUUGUCAUGCCAGUAACGUUGGAAGCCAUCUGGACCAUCAGGGUUAAAUUUUUUCUCAUCAGAGAACAAAACUUUUUUCCACCUUUCAGUGUCCCAUGUUUGAUGCUCCCUGGCAAAGUCUAAACGGGCAGUUUUGUGGCGGUGUAGGAGACGAGGUCUUUGAAUUUGUUUUUGAAACCCUUUUCCCGCAGAUGCCGUCUGAUGGUUAUUGCGCUGCAGUCGGCACCAGUAAGGGCCUUAAUUUGGGUCGAGGACCACCCUGUGUCUUGACGGACAGCCAAUCGGAUCCUCCAGCUCAGCGCAGGUGUAAUUUUUUUUGGGUCUACCACUUGACUUUUUUGUUCCAUAAUGCUCAGGAUCUUUCAAAAAAAUUUAAAAUGACUGUCUUACUGCGUCCAACCUCAGCAGCAAUGGCACGCUCCGAGAGGCCUUGCUUGUGCAGCUCGACGAUCCGACCACGUUCAAGAAGAGAAAGCUUCUUCGCUUUAGCCAUCAGGGGGGCAUGACCGUGUGAAUGCCUGGCAGAAAAUGAGAAUUUUGAGCAGAUUUGGGCUUUUAUAGCCUGUGGUCUUAAACUUUUGAUCAGCUGAUAAACAGCCUAUUUCAGUUUACUUGUUGUUUUCAAUAAAUUACUUUUUCAAAGUG
Amphiprion ocellaris (clown anemonefish) is the source of this 4957-nucleotide long non-coding RNA. RefSeq lists it as uncharacterized. Lineage: Eukaryota; Metazoa; Chordata; Actinopteri; Pomacentridae. The transcript is spliced from 2 exons. The record is from RefSeq and is a predicted model, not a curated record.